RNAcentral lists this ribosomal RNA (200 nucleotides) under uncultured bacterium. RNAcentral's name for it is "partial 16S ribosomal RNA". It matches the Rfam family "Bacterial small subunit ribosomal RNA", at positions 8 to 214 of the family's 1533-position model. The record is from RNAcentral.
AGAGUUUGAUCCUGGCUCAGAUUGAACGCUGGCGGCAUGCCUUACACAUGCAAGUCGAACGGCAGCGCGGGGGCAACCCUGGCGGCGAGUGGCGAACGGGUGAGUAAUAUAUCGGAACGUACCUAGUAGAGGGGGAUAACGCAGCGAAAGUUGCGCUAAUACCGCAUACGCUUUGAGGAGGAAAGUGGGGGACCUUCGGG